CGGGGCGUAGUUUAGUGGUAGAAUGCGUGGCUGGGGGUCAUGUGGUCUGAGUUCGAUUCUCAGCGCCCCGA
Molecule: transfer RNA, 71 nt
Filed under: Candidatus Levyibacteriota bacterium
Lineage: Bacteria; Candidatus Levyibacteriota
Description: tRNA-Pro
Rfam family: tRNA
About the family: Transfer RNA (tRNA) molecules are approximately 80 nucleotides in length. Their secondary structure includes four short double-helical elements and three loops (D, anti-codon, and T loops).
Source: RNAcentral